GGGGUGGUAGUGCAGUCUGGCCUAACACAUCUGUCUGUCACACAGAAGAACGCGGGUUCGAAUCCCGUCCACCCCGCCA
RNAcentral lists this transfer RNA (79 nucleotides) under bacterium ADurb.Bin363. Its description in RNAcentral is "tRNA-Asp". It matches the Rfam family "tRNA". From Rfam's summary of the family: Transfer RNA (tRNA) molecules are approximately 80 nucleotides in length. RNAcentral also lists the same sequence under 1 other name. The record is from RNAcentral.